Molecule: long non-coding RNA, 965 nt
Filed under: Mytilus galloprovincialis (Mediterranean mussel)
Lineage: Eukaryota; Metazoa; Mollusca; Bivalvia; Mytilida; Mytilidae
Source: RNAcentral
CUCUGUCACAAUACCCACGAUAGAGUCAUUAAAAAAAAAAAACUCUGUUCUACAUUGUAAUUAUACAUUGUAUUUGCAUCUUGCAUAUUAAGGACCAACACUAUUAUUUCAACACUGUUUGAGUUUUCAUUUUAUUCUGUACUUAUCGUACUCGUGUUGCAUACCAAUGGAUUUACUUCAUUUUAUUCGGACAACAAAACAUAGCUUAGAAAGCAAAAUAUAUUUCAUGUAGGUAGUCCAACUGAAGAGAGCAUUUCCUCACAUUUCUGCUGUUUACUAUAAAAUAGGUUUCUAAAGCGGCAAUUACAUGUAGAACAGUGGUGGCUAAUCAGAGAUAUAUAUACUUGAAUACGAAUUUGAAAAAGCGGCACCAUCAAAUGGAGUAAAUGUGUCUCAAUAUUGAUACGUUACUAUAGAGCUAGCUCAAAGUACAUGUACGCUGAUUUUGUUGAACGAGGAAUACUGCUUUCUCAAAAGUUGCUAAGACAGGGCUAUGAAUCAUCAAAUUAAGGUCAUCACUCAACUGUAUGGUUGUCAUCAUGAGCUGAUUGGCCAUUAUGACAAAAGUGUGUCAGAAAUCAUAUCUCAGUGAUAUUCUUCCUCAGUCAUAACAACCUUCCAUCUUUACCGAACUGAACAAACAAAUAACAUGACGGGUGCCGUAUACGGUACAGGAAAUGCUUACCUUUCCGGAGCACCUGAUUUCAUUCCUGGUUUUUAGUGGAGUUUGUGUUGUUUCCUACUUAUUAUUUGUAACUGUUGGUGCAAAUGUCUUUUGGUUUUAUGAGUCUUUGGUUACUCCUUGGUUUUGAUUGUUAUUGUCUUAUACACGAUACCUAAUGGAUGUAUUUACAUGAUAGAAGCUUAUUAUUACACUUGCAUAUAUGAUCGAAUAACACGUGACAAGAAGAUUUCAUAUGAAAUAAAUUUUAAAAAAUAAAAUCCUCCCACCCGCCCCAUUUUUU